This 502-nucleotide ribosomal RNA is filed under the name uncultured bacterium. Its description in RNAcentral is "partial 16S ribosomal RNA". It matches the Rfam family "Bacterial small subunit ribosomal RNA", at positions 30 to 523 of the family's 1533-position model. The record is from RNAcentral.
AUUGAACGCUGGCGGCGUGCUUAACACAUGCAAGUCGAGCGGUAACAGGUGUAGCAAUACAUGCUGACGAGCGGCGAACGGGUGAGUAAUGCUUCGGAAUCUUCCUCGUAGUGGGGAAUAACCUGGGGAAACUCAGGCUAAUACCGCAUACGAACUACGGUUGAAAGCAGGGGAUCGCAAGACCUUGCGCUAUGAGAUGAGCCGAAGUCGGAUUAGCUAGUUGGUGAGGUAAAGGCUCACCAAGGCGACGAUCCGUAGCUGGUCUGAGAGGACGACCAGCCACACUGGGACUGAGGCACGGCCCAGACUCCUACGGGAGGCAGCAGUGGGGAAUAUUGGACAAUGGGGGCAACCCUGAUCCAGCGACGCCGCGUGUGUGAAGAAGGCCUGCGGGUUGUAAAGCACUUUUAGUGGGGAUGAAAAGCCAAGGGUUAAUACCCUUUGGUCUUGACCUAACCCAAAGAAAAAGCACCGGCUAACUCUGUGCCAGCAGCCGCAGUAA